UUGGAGGGCAAGUCUGGUGCCAGCAGCCGCGGUAAUUCCAGCUCCAAUAGCGUAUAUUAAAGUUGUUGCAGUUAAAAAGCUCGUAGUUGAAUUUCAGGAUCAAUUUAUCGGUCGUGCCUACGGUAUGAACUGGUACAAUUGGUUUCUCCCUUCUGACGAAGCAUGAUGUCAUUAAUUUGGUGUCGUGGGGAAUCAGGACUGUUACUUUGAAAAAAUUAGAGUGUUUAAAGCAAGCAUUAGCUUGAAUACAUUAGCAUGGAAUAAUGAAAUAGGACGUUUGAUCCUAUUUCGUUGGUUUCUAGGAUCGACGUAAUGAUUAAUAGGGAUAGUUGGGGGCAUUAGUAUUCAAUUGUCAGAGGUGAAAUUCUUGGAUUUAUUGAAGACUAACUACUGCGAAAGCAUUUGCCAAGGAUGUUUUCAUUAAUCAAGAACGAAAGUUAGGGGAUCGAAGACGAUCAGAUACCGUCGUAGUCUUAACCAUAAACUAUGCCGACUAGGGAUCGGAUGAUGUUAAUUUUUUAAUGACUCAUUCGGCGCCUUACGGGAAAC
This 549-nucleotide ribosomal RNA is filed under the name uncultured Glomeromycotina. RNAcentral describes it as "SSU rRNA". It matches the Rfam family "Eukaryotic small subunit ribosomal RNA", at positions 548 to 1098 of the family's 1831-position model. Lineage: Eukaryota; Fungi; Glomeromycota. The record is from RNAcentral.